CCUACGGGUGGCUGCAGUGGAGAAUAUUGCACAAUGGGCGCAAGCCUGAUGCAGCCAUGCCGCGUGUGUGAAGAAGGCCUUCGGGUUGUAAAGCACUUUCAGCGGGGAGGAAGGCGGUGAGGUUAAUAACCUCAUCGAUUGACGUUACCCGCAGAAGAAGCACCGGCUAACUCCGUGCCAGCAGCCGCGGUAAUACGGAGGGUGCAAGCGUUAAUCGGAAUUACUGGGCGUAAAGCGCACGCAGGCGGUCUGUCAAGUCGGAUGUGAAAUCCCCGGGCUCAACCUGGGAACUGCAUUCGAAACUGGCAGGCUAGAGUCUUGUAGAGGGGGGUAGAAUUCCAGGUGUAGCGGUGAAAUGCGUAGAGAUCUGGAGGAAUACCGGUGGCGAAGGCGGCCCCCUGGACAAAGACUGACGCUCAGGUGCGAAAGCGUGGGGAGCAAACAGGAUUAGAUACCCGGGUAGUC
This 465-nucleotide ribosomal RNA is filed under the name uncultured Klebsiella sp. Its description in RNAcentral is "bacterial SSU rRNA". It matches the Rfam family "Bacterial small subunit ribosomal RNA", at positions 338 to 795 of the family's 1533-position model. The record is from RNAcentral. Lineage: Bacteria; Pseudomonadati; Pseudomonadota; Gammaproteobacteria; Enterobacterales; Enterobacteriaceae.